GCUUGGUUGGUGAGGUUAUGGCUUACCAAGGCGACGACGGGUAGCCGGCCUGAGAGGGUGACCGCACACACUGGAACUGAGAUACGGCAGAUCCUACGAGCAGCAGUGGGGAAUAUGGCACAUGGCGCAGCCUGAUGCAGCGACGCCGCUGAGGGAUGACGCUCGGUGUAACUCUUUCAGCAGGGACGAGCGCAGUGACGGUACCUGUAGAAGAAGGACCGGCCAACUACGUGCCAGCAGCGCGGUAAUACGUAGGGUCCGAGCGUGUCCGGAAUUACUGGGCGUAAAGAGCUCGUAGGUGGUUUGUCGCGUUGUUCGCGAAAACUCACAGCUCAACUGUGGGCGUGCGGGCGAUACGGGCAGACUUGAGUACUGCAGGGGAGACUGGAAUUCCUGGUGUAGCGGUGGAAUGCGCAGAUAUCAGGAGGAACACCGGUGGCGAAGGCGGGUCUCUGGGCAGUAACUGACGCUGAGGAGCGAAAGCGUGGGGAGCGAACAGGAUUAGAUACCCUGGUAGUCCACGCCGUAAACGGUGGGUACUAGGUGUGGGUUUCCUUCCUUGGGAUCCGUGCCGUAGCUAACGCAUUAAGUACCCCGCCUGGGGAGUACGGCCGCAAGGCUAAAACUCAAAGAAGUUGACGGGGGCCCGCACAAGCGGCGGAGCAUGUGGAUUAAUUCGAUGCAACGCGAAGAACCUUACCUGGGUUUGACAUGCACAGGACGCCGGCAGAGACGUCGGUUCCCUUGUGGCCUGUGUGCAGGUGGUGCAUGGCUGUCGUCAGCUCGUGUCGUGAGAUGUUGGGUUAAGUCCCGCAACGAGCGCAACCCUUAUCUUAUGUUGCCAGCGCGUAAUGGCGGGGACUCGUGAGAGACUGCCGGGGUCAACUCGGAGGAAGGUGGGGAUGACGUCAAGUCAUCAUGCCCCUUAUGUCCAGGGCUUCACACAUGCUACAAUGGCCGGUACAAGGGCUGCGAUGCCGUGAGGUGAGCGAAUCCUUUCAAGCCGGUCUCAGUUCGGAUCGGGGUCUGCAACUCGACCCGUGAAGUCGAGUCGCUAGUAUCGCAGAUCAGCACGCUGCGUGAUACGUCCCGGGCCUUGUACACACGACGUCACGUCAUGAAGUCGGUAAACCGAAGCCGGUGGCUACCCUUGGGGGGACGUCGAAGUGAAUCGGCAAUUGGGACGAAGUCGUAACAAAGUAACC
Molecule: ribosomal RNA, 1205 nt
Filed under: uncultured microorganism
Description: bacterial SSU rRNA
Rfam family: Bacterial small subunit ribosomal RNA
Source: RNAcentral